AAAAACACCCACAUGAUGCAGACAAUCAGUAUCCACUUUUCCAGUCUGAAUCAGUGUAGCCUGGUGCAAACAGCUGAAAGCUGGGUCUUGCGUUGGAAAUGUCAAACCCUGUGUAACGGGCUGUAUGGGCUCUUUAAAAACUUGGCAGAGCUGCUCACCCUACCUUCUGCAUGUGUUGAGAAUCAGCUGAAGGGCUGAUUCCCAGCAAGCAUAUUUAAAUAUGUUUCCAGCUUAGGGAAAGAAAUGGAUGUUUGUCUCUUAGGGGAGCUGUUCCUUUCUCCCACCCCUCCCUUAUAUGUGCACGUACAUACACACACAAAAAAAGAGCAAAACAGCCAUAAAGGUACCCUCCAGGUGGAAAAGACCGUUCCUCCAUAGAUACAGAACAGCACUUUUGGCAGACCUGAACAGUAUUAGAGUUUAAGUGAGUUGAAAAUAGGAGACUGAUAAUGAGAUUUUGCCGUAGGCUGGCUUGUGCUGGCAGGCUUCAAGCACAGCCAGCCUGUCUACAAUUCACCCUAGAAGAGCUAAUGAAAAUAGAAACCGAAGAACCACAGUGCAUUAUUCAGCCUAGAGAGGUAAAAAUAUUGACUUGGAAAGACCACCACUCACAGAUGAAAUGACAGCUCUGAGUUGCAGCCACUUGCCUUUCAGUCAUGUUAAGAAGGCACUAACCUUCCAGUUGCAGAAAGAGUACAGUUCCUCAUUCAGCCCCCUCCAGAGCUGGCACGAGAGGAGUGCAAGGAAGGAGGGGUAUGGCAUUCACCAGCUCUGGUCAGAAUUAUGAUCCCUAUUUCUGCUGAUCCUGAGUGGCUCAUAGUCCUGUUAGCACUAAAUUGCCUUUCACAGGUAGGAGCUUGUGCCCAGGCACAGAAGAAGAGUUCUGGGAAGUCUGGGAAGCAAUGACUGCUUCAACCAGGAAGGAAGAACAGCUUUGCCAGUGGAUUUAUGCAGAAGACACCCGUGAUCCACUUCUUCCUGGAUGUGAGCUUUGCUGCAGCCUGAGCUCAGAGCGUCUCUGCUUGUACUUGGGAAGAGAACAGGAGGACUGCAAGUCAGAGAAGGCUCCAACAGAAUUUCUCAAGUUGGAUGGAGUACCAAUGGAUGUAUUGCAAAGUUCAGCAAAUUGGAUCAUAGCUUGCUGAUUGGAAAAGUUUCUGCAGAACAGCUUAUCUGAUAUGGUUUAGAAGCAAGAUCAUGAGGAAGAUAUUCAGGAAAGAAUUAAAAGUGAAACAGAAUAUGAAAUGUCAAUCAAACAGGAAUGCUUCAGCUGCUGAUGGAUCACAAAAGGAAGGAUCAUGUUCCCAAGUCUUUGAAGAUAAGGAUAAGAAGGAAGUAAUUGUUAAUGAUUUUCUGAUCUAAACCAAAAAUGAUUGACAACAUAAUGAAAUCCUGUAGUGUGCCAAAAUCCCAUAAUUUUACAUUGAACAGGAACAGAUGUCGGAGGAUGCUGAAUGAGAUUAGUUGCAUUAUACAGUACACAGCUAUGUGUGCCUAAUAAUAAAAGGUCUGCCCCAAGAAGCGUGAUGAACUUGUAAGCAACUUAAUAGUCUUCUGGAACUGGUUAUAGAUCUCAAAGAAUUUUUGUCACAAUUAAACA
Molecule: long non-coding RNA, 1600 nt
Organism: Falco peregrinus (peregrine falcon)
Lineage: Eukaryota; Metazoa; Chordata; Aves; Falconiformes; Falconidae
Exons: 3
Source: RefSeq, a predicted model, not a curated record